This 253-nucleotide ribosomal RNA is filed under the name uncultured bacterium. Its description in RNAcentral is "partial 16S ribosomal RNA". It matches the Rfam family "Bacterial small subunit ribosomal RNA", at positions 524 to 776 of the family's 1533-position model. The record is from RNAcentral.
GACGAACCUUGCAAACGUUAUUCGGAAUCACUGGGCUUAAAGGGUGUGUAGGCUGUGCAGAAAGUUGGGUGUGAAAUACCUCGGCUUAACCGAGGAAUUGCGCCCAAAACUACUGUGCUCGAGGAAGAUAGAGGUGAGCGGAACUUAGGGUGGAGCGGUGAAAUGCGUUGAUAUCCUAAGGAACACCGGUGGCGAAAGCGGCUCACUGGAUCUUAUCUGACGCUGAGGCACGAAAGCCAGGGUAGCAAACGGG